GGGCAGCACCGUUAAAGGCUAUGGAGGUUGAAAUCGUGAGCCCAUGGGAUUUGUCUUGAUCCUGAGUAGUGCUGGCUUGUGUGCCAAGUUCCUUCAGUCGUGUCUGACUCUCUUCGGCCCCAUGGACUGUAGCCCACCAGGCUCCUCUGUCUGUGGGCUUCUCCAGGCAAGAACACUGGAGUGGGUUGCCAUGCCCUCGUUCAGGGGAUCUUCCUGACCCAGGGACUGAAUCCGCGUCUCACGUCUCUUGAGUUGGCAGGCCUCUCCAUAUUUUGGCCACCUGAUGAGAAGAGCAGACUGAUUGGAAAAGACCCUGAUGCUGGGGAAGACUGAGGGCAGGAGGAGAAGGGUGUGACAGAGGAUGAGAUGGUUGGAUGGCAUCACCGCCUCAUUGGCCAUGAGUUUGGGCAAGCUACGGGAGAUUGUGAAGGACGGGGAAGGCUGGUGUGCUGCAGUCCAUGGGGUCACGAAGAGCUGGACACGACUGAAUGACUGAACAACAACGACAACUCUAGUCUUUUGAGCUUCCCAAUUUUUAGUGGUAAAAAAUUAGGCUUCCAAUGCAAGAUACUCAAGAGAUGUGAGUUUGAUCCCUGGGUUGGGAAGCUCCCCUGGAGGAGGAAAAGGUAACCCCCUCCAGUAUUCUUGCCUGGAAAAUUCCAUGGGCAGAGUCUGGUGGGCCCCAGUCCAUGGGGUCACGAAGAGUCAGACAUGACAUGAGUGGUCUUUUGGCAUCUUUUAAAAGACGGUCCACACUGUGUUAUUGUCAGUGCUGGCUUAGUCCUGAGCUGCUUUCCAUCUGCGUAAUCUUUUGAGUAAUCUCAUCUGCUCUCAUGAUUGUGGAUUCCAAAAAUAUAAUAUUUACACAAUUGCCUUGUCUUUGUCUGGUAUAAUUGUAGUUGCCCACUAGCUAAAACAGUCAAUUUAAAAUUCUUGUUGUAUGUCAAAAAACAGCACAGAAUGACUUGUUCACAUUUUGAUUGCAUUUACUAAAUAACUGAAUGCUGGAUUUAUCAUCCUUCUUUGCCCUUAUACCAUUUUCCUUUUAACUAUGUUGUGAAUAAAUUUCUAGUUGUACGAGGUAUAAAAAUUAUUAAAGGGAAAGGUAGGGGAAUUUGGGAGAUCUGAUUUCUUUUGGUCUUAAUUACUGACUGUAUUCAAUGUCUAGAUAAUUUGAUUCUGAGAUAAUUCUUGUGAGGUAAAUAUUGUAUAUAUUCU
Bos taurus (domestic cattle) is the source of this 1218-nucleotide long non-coding RNA. The record is from Ensembl. NCBI's taxonomy places the organism in Eukaryota, Metazoa, Chordata, Mammalia, Artiodactyla, Bovidae.